UCCGUAGGUGAACCUGCGGAAGGAUCAUUACCGAGUGCGGGCCCUCGCGGCCCAACCUCCCACCCUUGUCUCUAUACACCUGUUGCUUUGGCGGGCCCACCGGGGCCACCCGGUCGCCGGGGGACGCACGUCUCCGGGCCCGCGCCCGCCGAAGCGCUCUGUGAACCCUGAUGAAGAUGGGCUGUCUGAGUACUGUGAAAAUUGUCAAAACUUUCAACAAUGGAUCUCUUGGUUCCGGCAUCGAUGAAGAACGCAGCGAAAUGCGAUAAGUAAUGUGAAUUGCAGAAUUCCGUGAAUCAUCGAAUCUUUGAACGCACAUUGCGCCCCCUGGCAUUCCGGGGGGCAUGCCUGUCCGAGCGUCAUUUCUGCCCUCAAGCACGGCUUGUGUGUUGGGUGUGGUCCCCCCGGGGACCUGCCCGAAAGGCAGCGGCGACGUCCGUCUGGUCCUCGAGCGUAUGGGGCUCUGUCACUCGCUCGGGAAGGACCUGCGGGGGUUGGUCACCACCAUGUUUUACCACGGUUGACCUCGGAUCAGGUAGGAGUUACCCGCUGAACUUAAGCAUAUCAAUAAGCGGAGGA
Molecule: ribosomal RNA, 579 nt
Filed under: Talaromyces pinophilus
Lineage: Eukaryota; Fungi; Ascomycota; Eurotiomycetes; Eurotiales; Trichocomaceae
Description: eukaryotic LSU rRNA
Rfam family: 5.8S ribosomal RNA (bases 209-362)
Source: RNAcentral